This 215-nucleotide ribosomal RNA is filed under the name uncultured bacterium. Its description in RNAcentral is "partial 16S ribosomal RNA". It matches the Rfam family "Bacterial small subunit ribosomal RNA", at positions 1286 to 1500 of the family's 1533-position model. The record is from RNAcentral.
UCUCAGUUCGGAUUGUAGUCUGCAACUCGACUACAUGAAGCUGGAAUCGCUAGUAAUCGCGAAUCAGAAUGUCGCGGUGAAUACGUUCCCGGGUCUUGUACACACCGCCCGUCACACCAUGGGAGUUGGGAAUGCCCGAAGCCGGUGACCUAACCGAAAGGGAGGAGCCGUCGAAGGCAGGCUUGAUAACUGGGGUGAAGUCGUAACAAGGUACC